CCUAACACAUGCAAGUCGAACGGGAAGCGGUGCAUAUUGCUUCGGUGAUAAUGUGCCGUGGAGAGUGGCGAACGGGUGCGUAACACGUAGGUAACCUGCCCUGAAAGGGGGGAUAACCACGGGAAACUGUGGCUAAUACCGUAUAAUCUCGCCGUGGCGGUGGUUACGGUGAGGAAAGCUGAGGCGAUUUGGGAGGGGCCUGCGGUCGAUUAGCUGGUUGGUGGGGUAAAGGCCCACCAAGGCGAUGAUCGAUAGCUGUUCUGAGAGGAAGACCAGCCACACGGGAACUGAGACACGGUUCCGACUCCUACGGGGGGCAGCAGUGAGGAAUAUUGCGCAAUGGGGGGAACCCUGACGCAGCAACGCCGCGUGGAGGACGAAGGUUUUCGGAUUGUAAACUCCUUAACUGGGGGAAGAGAGAGGACGGUACCCCAGGACGAAGACACGGCUAACUAGGUGCCAGCAGCCGCGGUAAUACCUAGGUGUCGAGCGUUAUCCGGAAUUACUGGGCGUAAAGGGUGCGCAGGCGGUGUUACAAGUCCGGCGUGAAAGCUUCUGGCUUAACUGG
This 568-nucleotide ribosomal RNA is filed under the name uncultured bacterium. RNAcentral's name for it is "bacterial SSU rRNA". It matches the Rfam family "Bacterial small subunit ribosomal RNA", at positions 47 to 616 of the family's 1533-position model. The record is from RNAcentral.